RNAcentral lists this long non-coding RNA (700 nucleotides) under Ursus maritimus (polar bear). Its description in RNAcentral is "lncRNA (ENSUMAG00000004551.1)". Lineage: Eukaryota; Metazoa; Chordata; Mammalia; Carnivora; Ursidae. The record is from RNAcentral.
GCCAGCAGAGAGGCGGCCGGCCAUGGGCACCUGCUCAGAAGACCCCCACCUGGGCGGGGCCUCCUGGCUCCUGGGAUUCACCAGCCUUCUCCUCAGCGUCUGCAGCGCUCUGACCCAGAGCUCUGGAGUCCGUGGUUCCGGGGUGGAGGAUUCUGGAAUUCCUGUUUCUCUGAAGGAGACACAAGGAGCUUCUGUGUCAUUUCAUGUGAUCAGAAAACCAGAAUUACCCCCAGAAGGCGAGCUGGAGAAGAUUUUAUGGGGCAUUGUAUACGGGUCAAACUACAGAGUCAUGCUGAAUGUCCUUCCUGGGAGGAAUGUUCCAGAAUGGCUCAACUUCCAAGACAAGUUCAAGAUGAGGGUCCAUGUGCCCAGCGUAAUGACCCUGACAAUAGACAACCUGACCCUUGAGGACAGCGGGCUGUACCGGGUUCGAGUCUUCUACAGUACUGGAACAGAACGUGACGAGGAUUUCCACCUGACGGUCUAUGAGCCCGUGCCCCUUCCCCAGAUCCGGGCCACGGUUCUGUCCCUCACACCAGGCUGGUGCAACGUCACCGUGGAGUGUGACACCACGGGAACCAGGGAGGACCUGACCGUGUCCUGGGAGAGCGAGGGCCUCCCUAGGGAGCUGGAGCAGAGACCGUCCAUGGGACCAGCCCCCAACCCCUGGACCCUGGCUGUGACCCUGCCCCUUAGCCAG